UAGACAAAAAUUAGAGUCAAAAAUCGAGAAAAAUAUUCUAAAAAAAUAAAAUUUAUAACCUUCGAUGCAUGGUGGAUUGGUCGCUUGGUCCACAGAAGCAAUGGUGCGGUCCACCGAAACAGGUUCGUGGUCCAUGAUGUGGCUCACGAGCGAGGUGGAAGAAAUCUACAUGAUCUGAUGGCUUAUAUCAAUUUCGCACCAGAUCUGAUGGCUGACAUCAUUUCUAACUUUGAAUAGGAUUUCUAGGCAUGAUCAGACGGUCGAAAUCCCAUCUGAAGCACGAUCCAACGGCUGGUAUUCAUCCUGACUAUGUUAAGAAAAUAAAAGGCAUUGAUCAAUGAUCGAAAAUUCAUUUGGGGU
This 360-nucleotide long non-coding RNA is filed under the name Elaeis guineensis (African oil palm). RNAcentral's name for it is "long non-coding RNA (EGUI_LNC045990)". The record is from RNAcentral. Lineage: Eukaryota; Viridiplantae; Streptophyta; Magnoliopsida; Arecales; Arecaceae.